AUGGGAGGGGUAGCGACGAUGCUGGCCGCUCUGGUGGAGGACUGGACAGGGGUGGUAGUGAAAGAGCAUAAUGACAUCCCGAUAGGAUCAAAGUCCUAUUGUAUUCACUGUGUGAUCUCUCAUCCUUUUGAAGAACCUGCAUCCAGUGACAUGGGCUUUCAGAUACCCUUCCUCGAGCCACUGCUGGAUCAAAUGGGCUUUGGUCAGUUCAUCCGGGUGGUGGCAAUUCGUGAUGCUUUUGGUUCUCAAAUGGAUGGUGGUGUUACGCCUGCAAGCUUCUUGUGGUUUCAAGUUGAACCUGGCCACCAAGCCCUCCCAACCCUUCAUAAACUCCAGUGGAGAUGA
This 345-nucleotide ribosomal RNA is filed under the name Triticum aestivum (bread wheat). Its description in RNAcentral is "partial small subunit ribosomal RNA". The record is from RNAcentral. Lineage: Eukaryota; Viridiplantae; Streptophyta; Magnoliopsida; Poales; Poaceae.